Molecule: long non-coding RNA, 844 nt
Organism: Micropterus salmoides (largemouth bass)
Lineage: Eukaryota; Metazoa; Chordata; Actinopteri; Centrarchiformes; Centrarchidae
Exons: 3
Source: RefSeq, a predicted model, not a curated record
GUGUCAAAGCCUGUUGUUUCUCAGAUGUGUUUGUCAGAACAGAUGAACAUCAGCUGCUCCUCUGAAGGAGAUGGAGUAGAGUUCAUUUUGACUUUGGACAGUCUCUUACUGAUGCAGACCACAGGCCACAGCCAGUCCCUGAGCAGCUCGACACUGUCACUGGUUGGGAGUACAGCUAAACAACAUAAUCUCAGAGUUUCAAAUGUUACCAUCAGCUUACAUGGUCAACUGACAGGAAACUUGAUGUGUAAAGUUUGGAACAAUGUCAGCAGAGAUGAAACAGUUAUUCACCUACAAAGCUGCAAAGAGUUAGUUGGUUCCUUCCCUGUUGUGACUGUGGCUGUGAUAGCAGGUGUUGUCACUCUCCUUCUCCUUGUGGCUCUGUGUCUUAGUAUAAAACAUCUACAUAACAAACAAAGACCCACGACUGUUAUUAAAGGGUAACUUUGAAGAAAUGUCUGAAGUUGUCUACAAAGAUGAUGACAAAGAUAAAAAACACAGAGAAAGCCAGACCCAAGUGACAUAAUUUUUUCCUAAAAGGUUUACUUAGCACCUCACCCAUUUUGAACCCUAACAUUAACCUUUUUAGAAAUCUAUUUAACUCUUGUGAUAAAUAAAAUUUGAUCAAGGGUCAUUAUCUUGCCUGUACACAAGUUGUUUUUUAAUUUUGUGAUUAGUAUACUUGCUACCAUAUCUACAGUGCACUAUUUUCACAGUAAGAGUUUUAUUUUCGCUAGAUUUUUAAACCACUAUAUUAAAAGAGUUUAAAUUGUGUUUGAAGAAUUCAUGCAUUUGCUUUCCAAAAAUUAUGUGAUUUUAUUUUCUGUUGCCCUGUAAUUGUGUG